Molecule: ribosomal RNA, 253 nt
Filed under: uncultured bacterium
Lineage: Bacteria
Description: partial 16S ribosomal RNA
Rfam family: Bacterial small subunit ribosomal RNA
Source: RNAcentral
UACAGAGGUCCCGAGCGUUGUUCGGAUUCACUGGGCGUAAAGGGUGCGUAGGUGGCGAUGAAAGUUCGAUGUGAAAUCUCCGGGCUUAACCCGGAAAAGGCAUUGAAAACUCUGUCGCUGGAGGGUUGGAGGGGGGACUGGAAUUCUUGGUGUAGCAGUGAAAUGCGUAGAUAUCAAGAGGAACACCAGUGGCGAAGGCGGGUCCCUGGACAACACCUGACACUGAGGCACGAAAGCUAGGGGAGCAAACAGG